AAAAAGGUUUUUAGUACACAUUACAAAUUUCUUCCUCUUAUAGUAGGCUACUACCGUACUGUAGGGUAAGCCUAUACCCAAGUUUAGAAGCCUACACAAAUUUUCAUUUUAUGUAUGGGCUGUAAUUUUUAGGACACCGCAACAGUGUAAAUGUAGGUCCAGUGCCGAUAUAGGUGUCAUCAAAUUUUUGGUUGAGAUUGAUCAAGUGUAUGUUAUUUGAAUCACAAAAAUUAAAUGGCGGUCACUAUUGUUUAUUGUUUUUAUGAACUAAACGAAGCUCAUAGUAGCACAAUUUUGCAUGCAUUUAACCUAUACCGUGUCAUCCAUGUUGUUUUUUAAACUAUUAAAAUAAUAUUCUUAUGGCUUUUAUUGGUGGAGAGUCCCUGACGGACUUACAACAGUCAUACUUCAGCCGGGACCGACAAUUUAACAUGCCAUCUAUACGGUACUAUUGAUAGGCAGGUAGACAAGCAACCACCCUAGAGCCAGUGGGCAGCCGAGCGACGACCCUGUCACAGUAGCCAAGUGCCCCCUGUAGCUGGCGCCGUCACCAGGGGCCCGCGAGGUGGAUGGAGGCGGGAAGGCGAAAUGAAUAACAGACGCCCGGUGAUGGUGAGAAUACUGAUGCUGGACUGAUGAACGUGCCAACUCCACUGAUACCUCACCAUAUUAUUUGUUUCACAUAGAGCAAUCCAAUAUUUUUUAUACACUUAUGAAGUGUUUUAUCAAUUAGCAUAAUAAAUAAUAAGACUAUUUGAACAAACAAAAUAAACACUUGAAAAGUAAUGUUGUCUAUUUAUGUAAAGAUUUUGUCACAUUUUAAACUCUGAAAUUUUUUUAUAUAAUUUCAUUAUAAUUCUCAUAAUGUGUAAUAGAUUGCAUAAAAUUGUUAUUAAAAACUCUAUUUACUAAA
This is a long non-coding RNA of Nilaparvata lugens (brown planthopper), 913 nucleotides long. RefSeq lists it as uncharacterized. The transcript is spliced from 3 exons. The record is from RefSeq and is a predicted model, not a curated record. NCBI's taxonomy places the organism in Eukaryota, Metazoa, Arthropoda, Insecta, Hemiptera, Delphacidae.